Molecule: ribosomal RNA, 499 nt
Filed under: uncultured bacterium
Lineage: Bacteria
Description: bacterial SSU rRNA
Rfam family: Bacterial small subunit ribosomal RNA
Source: RNAcentral
GAUGAACGCUAGCUACAGGCUUAACACAUGCAAGUCGCGGGGCAGCAUGUCGGUUGCUUGCAACCGAUGAUGGCGACCGGCGCACGGGUGAGUAACGCGUAUCCAACCUACCCUUCACCACGGAAUAAUCCAGUGAAAAUUGGUCUAAUACCGUAUGAGGUCAUACGAUGGCAUCAGAAUAUGACGAAAGGUUUAGCGGUGAAGGAUGGGGAUGCGUCUGAUUAGCUUGUUGGCGGGGUAACGGCCCACCAAGGCUACGAUCAGUAGGGGUUCUGAGAGGAAGGUCCCCCCACAUUGGAACUGAGACACGGUCCAAAACUCCUACGGGAGGCAGCAGUGAGGAAUAUUGGUCAAUGGGCGAGAGCCUGAACCAGCCAAGUAGCGUGCAGGAUGACGGCCCUAUGGGUUGUAAACUGCUUUUAUAAGGGAAUAAAGUGAGUCUCGUGAGACUUUUUGCAUGUACCUUAUGAAUAAGGACCGGCUAAUUCCGUGCCAGCAG